This 485-nucleotide long non-coding RNA is filed under the name Elaeis guineensis (African oil palm). RNAcentral's name for it is "long non-coding RNA (EGUI_LNC008213)". The record is from RNAcentral. Lineage: Eukaryota; Viridiplantae; Streptophyta; Magnoliopsida; Arecales; Arecaceae.
CCUUGCUAUCUUUGAUGUUAAUUAGAUGGCAUUUUGUUUUCUAUAAAGCAUCAUUCUACAUGAAAAACUUUAUAUUUCUAUCACCUACUUGCAUCCAUUUGAUUUGAUACUGUUGAUGCCAAAGAUUCCUCUUUUUUUAUUUUUUUCCCAUUUUGCUUCCAAUUUUUAUUUCAGCUCUUGAAGUUUGCAGCCUUAUAUUUUUUUCAUAUGCACAUUGUACCCCUGCUUACUUCUCUUCUUACUAGGUGACUUUAGUUAUUUAUUAGAUGAGACAAAUACUGAGUUUCUGGAGGUUAGUUUGUCUCUCCUUAGGUGGUUUAUGUUUUGUAUAGAGUAAAGGAGACCGCUUUGAAUGUGCCAAAGAUAUUAAGUAUCAAAGGAACCCCUGUCAGACAAAUUCUAGCAAGUGGACUUAUGGUUGUAGGUGCUGAAAUAUAUCUCUAGCUCAUCUCUAGGCCGACCUCUAGUUUGGUCUUUGACCAACC